This 404-nucleotide ribosomal RNA is filed under the name uncultured bacterium. Its description in RNAcentral is "bacterial SSU rRNA". It matches the Rfam family "Bacterial small subunit ribosomal RNA", at positions 355 to 774 of the family's 1533-position model. The record is from RNAcentral.
UGGGGAAUAUUGGGCAAUGGACGAAAGUCUGACCCAGCAACGCCGCGUGAAGGAAGAAGGCUUUCGGGUUGUAAACUUCUUUUAAGGGGGAAGAGUAGAAGACGGUACCCCUUGAAUAAGCCACGGCUAACUACGUGCCAGCAGCCGCGGUAAUACGGAGGGUGCGAGCGUUAAUCGGAAUCACUGGGCGUAAAGCGCACGUAGGCUGUUUGUCAAGUCAGAGGUGAAAUCCCACGGCCCAACCGUGGAACUGCCUUUGAAACUGGCAGACUUGAGUGUCGGAGAGGGUGGCGGAAUUCCAGGUGUAGGAGUGAAAUCCGUAGAUAUCUGGAGGAACACCGGUGGCGAAGGCGGCCACCUGGACGAUAACUGACGCGGAGGUGCGAAAGCGUGGGUAGCAAACA